This 385-nucleotide ribosomal RNA is filed under the name uncultured soil bacterium. Its description in RNAcentral is "bacterial SSU rRNA". It matches the Rfam family "Bacterial small subunit ribosomal RNA", at positions 26 to 405 of the family's 1533-position model. The record is from RNAcentral.
AGAUUGAACGCUGGCGGCAGGCCUAACACAUGCAAGUCGAGCGGCAGCACGGGUACUUGUACCUGGUGGCGAGCGGCGGACGGGUGAGUAAUGCCUAGGAAUCUGCCUGGUAGUGGGGGAUAACGCUCGGAAACGGACGCUAAUACCGCAUACGUCCUACGGGAGAAAGCAGGGGACCUUCGGGCCUUGCGCUAUCAGAUGAGCCUAGGUCGGAUUAGCUAGUUGGUGAGGUAAUGGCUCACCAAGGCGACGAUCCGUAACUGGUCUGAGAGGAUGAUCAGUCACACUAGGAACUGAGACGACGGUCCAGACUCCGUACGGGAGGCAGCAGGUGGGGAAUAGUUGGACAAGUGGGACGAAAGCCUGAUCCAGCCAUGCGCGUGUG